AACGUAGGGGGCAAGCGUUGCCCGGAUUCACUGGGCGUAAAGCGGGUGUAGGCGGUCCGUUAAGUCGGGUGUGAAAUCUCCAAGCUCAACUUGGAAACUGCACCCGAUACUGGCGGACUUGAGGACGGUAGAGGUCGGUGGAAUGAGCGGUGUACCGGUGAAAUGGACAGAUAUCGCUCAGAACACCAGUGGCGAAGGCGGCCGACUGGGCCGGACCUGACGCUGAGACCCGAAAGCUAGGGGAGCGAACCGG
Molecule: unclassified non-coding RNA, 253 nt
Filed under: uncultured Actinomycetes bacterium
Lineage: Bacteria; Bacillati; Actinomycetota; Actinomycetes
Description: uncultured actinobacterium contains 16S-23S intergenic spacer region
Rfam family: Bacterial small subunit ribosomal RNA
Source: RNAcentral